GAUGAACGCUGGCGGCGUGCCUAAUACAUGCAAGUCGAGCGAACGGACGAGAAGCUUGCUUCUCUGAUGUUAGCGGCGGACGGGUGAGUAACACGUGGAUAACCUACCUAUAAGACUGGGAUAACUUCGGGAAACCGGAGCUAAUACCGGAUAAUAUUUUGAACCGCAUGGUUCAAAAGUGAAAGACGGUCUUGCUGUCACUUAUAGAUGGAUCCGCGCUGCAUUAGCUAGUUGGUAAGGUAACGGCUUACCAAGGCAACGAUGCAUAGCCGACCUGAGAGGGUGAUCGGCCACACUGGAACUGAGACACGGUCCAGACUCCUACGGGAGGCAGCAGUAGGGAAUCUUCCGCAAUGGGCGAAAGCCUGACGGAGCAACGCCGCGUGAGUGAUGAAGGUCUUCGGAUCGUAAAACUCUGUUAUUAGGGAAGAACAUAUGUGUAAGUAACUGUGCACAUCUUGACGGUACCUAAUCAGAAAGCCACGGCUAACUACGUGCCAGCAGCCGCGGUAAUACGUAGGUGGCAAGCGUUAUCCGGAAUUAUUGGGCGUAAAGCGCGCGUAGGCGGUUUUUUAAGUCUGAUGUGAAAGCCCACGGCUCAACCGUGGAGGGUCAUUGGAAACUGGAAAACUUGAGUGCAGAAGAGGAAAGUGGAAUUCCAUGUGUAGCGGUGAAAUGCGCAGAGAUAUGGAGGAACACCAGUGGCGAAGGCGACUUUCUGGUCUGUAACUGACGCUGAUGUGCGAAAGCGUGGGGAUCAAACAGGAUUAGAUACCCUGGUAGUCCACGCCGUAAACGAUGAGUGCUAAGUGUUAGGGGGUUUCCGCCCCUUAGUGCUGCAGCUAACGCAUUAAGCACUCCGCCUGGGGAGUACGACCGCAAGGUUGAAACUCAAAGGAAUUGACGGGGACCCGCACAAGCGGUGGAGCAUGUGGUUUAAUUCGAAGCAACGCGAAGAACCUUACCAAAUCUUGACAUCCUUUGACGACUCUAGAGAUAGAGCCUUCCCCUUCGGGGGACAAAGUGACAGGUGGUGCAUGGUUGUCGUCAGCUCGUGUCGUGAGAUGUUGGGUUAAGUCCCGCAACGAGCGCAACCCUUAAGCUUAGUUGCCAUCAUUAAGUUGGGCACUCUAAGUUGACUGCCGGUGACAAACCGGAGGAAGGUGGGGAUGACGUCAAAUCAUCAUGCCCCUUAUGAUUUGGGCUACACACGUGCUACAAUGGACAAUACAAAGGGCAGCGAAACCGCGAGGUCAAGCAAAUCCCAUAAAGUUGUUCUCAGUUCGGAUUGUAGUCUGCAACUCGACUACAUGAAGCUGGAAUCGCUAGUAAUCGUAGAUCAGCAUGCUACGGUGAAUACGUUCCCGGGUCU
Molecule: ribosomal RNA, 1372 nt
Filed under: uncultured bacterium
Lineage: Bacteria
Description: bacterial SSU rRNA
Rfam family: Bacterial small subunit ribosomal RNA
Source: RNAcentral